UCGUCAUUGCUGCGGUUAAAAAGCUCGUAGUUGGAUCUGAGUCACAUGCAGUGGUUCGCCUUUGGCGUUAAUCGCUGUUGUGACUAUUUGCUGGUUUUCUACUUAGGUUUCGGCCUUUGUAGUGGCUAGCGAGUUUACUUUGAAUAAAUUAGAGUGCUCAGAACAGGCGUUUGCCUGAAUGCUCGAUCAUGGAAUAAUAAAAGAGGACUUCGGUUCUAUUUAUUGGUUCAGGAACUGAAAUAAUGGUUAAGAGGGACAAUUCGGGGGCAUUCGUAUCCCUGCGCGAGAGGUGAAAUUCGUGGACCGCAGGGGGACGCCCUAAAGCGAAAGCAUUUGCCAAGAAUGUCUUCAUUAAUCAAGAACGAAAGUCAGAGGUUCGAAGGCGAUUAGAUACCGCCCUAGUUCUGACCGUAAACUAUGCCAUCUAGCGAUCCGAUGGGGUAUAGUUGCCUUGUCGAGGAGCUUCCCGGAAACGAAAGUCUUUCGGUUCCUGGGGUAGUAUGGUUGCAAAGCUGAAACUUAAAGAAAUUGACGGAAUGGCACCACCAGGAGUGGAGCCUGCGGCUUAAUUUGACUCAACACGGGAAAACUCACCCGGCCCGGACACCGUAAGGAUUGACAGAUUGAAAGCUCUUUCUCGAUUUGGUGGUUGGUGGUGCAUGGCCGUUCUUAGUUGGUGGAGCGAUUUGUCUGGUUUAUUCCGAUAACGAGCGAGACUCUAGCCUGCUAAAUAGUGGCUGGAUUUUUAAGUCCAGUCUACUUCUUAGAGGGAUAAGCGGUGUUUAGCCGCACGAGAUUGAGCGAUAACAGGUCUGUGAUGCCCUUAGAUGUCCGGGGCUGCACGCGCGCUACAAUGGAAGAAUCAGCUGGCCUAUCCAUUGCCGAAAGGCAUUGGUAAACCGUUGAAACUCUUCCGUGACCGGGAUAGGGAAUUGUAAUUAUUUCCCUUGAACGAGGAAUUCCUAGUAAGUGUGAGUCAUCAGCUCACGCUGAUUACGUCCCUGCCAUUUGUACACACCGCCCGUCGCUGUCCGGGACUGAGCUGUCUCGAGAGGACUGCGGACUGCUGUAUCGAGGCUUCGGUCGCGGCUAUGGACGGGCAAAACA
Molecule: ribosomal RNA, 1107 nt
Filed under: Oesophagostomum muntiacum
Lineage: Eukaryota; Metazoa; Nematoda; Chromadorea; Rhabditida; Strongylidae
Description: SSU rRNA
Rfam family: Eukaryotic small subunit ribosomal RNA
Source: RNAcentral